Molecule: ribosomal RNA, 477 nt
Filed under: Plesiomonas sp.
Lineage: Bacteria; Pseudomonadati; Pseudomonadota; Gammaproteobacteria; Enterobacterales; Enterobacteriaceae
Description: bacterial SSU rRNA
Rfam family: Bacterial small subunit ribosomal RNA
Source: RNAcentral
AGAGUUUGAUCAUGGCUCAGAUUGAACGCUGGCGGCAGGCCUAACACAUGCAAGUCGAGCGGUAACACAGAGGAGCUUGCUCCUUGGGUGACGAGCGGCGGACGGGUGAGUAAUGCCUGGGGAUCUGCCCGAUAGAGGGGGAUAACUACGGGAAACUGUAGCUAAUACCGCAUAAUGUCUACGGACCAAAGUGGGGGCUCUUCGGACCUCAUGCUAUCGGAUGAACCCAGGUGGGAUUAGCUAGUUGGUGAGGUAAUGGCUCACCAAGGCGACGAUCUCUAACUGGUUUGAGAGAAUGACCAGUCACACUGGAACUGAGACACGGUCCAGACUCCUACGGGAGGCAGCAGUGGGGAAUAUUGCACAAUGGGCGCAAGCCUGAUGCAGCCAUGCCGCGUGUGUGAAGAAGGCCUUCGGGUUGUAAAGCACUUUCAGCGGGGAGGAAGGGUCACUAGUUAAUACCUAGUGGCAUUGACG